This 438-nucleotide ribosomal RNA is filed under the name uncultured bacterium. RNAcentral's name for it is "bacterial SSU rRNA". It matches the Rfam family "Bacterial small subunit ribosomal RNA", at positions 339 to 794 of the family's 1533-position model. The record is from RNAcentral.
CUACGGAAGGCAGCAGUGGGGAAUAUUGCGCAAUGGAGGGAACUCUGACGCAGCAACGCCGCGUGAAGGAUGAAGGCUUUCGGGUUGUAAACUUCUUUGAUCGGGGACGAAGAUGACGGUACCCGAGGAACAAGCCACGGCUAACUACGUGCCAGCAGCCGCGGUAAUACGUAGGUGGCAAGCGUUGUCCGGAAUUACUGGGUGUAAAGGGCGUGUAGGCGGGGCGGCAAGUCAGAUGUGAAAUACCGUGGCUUAACUGCGGGGGUGCAUCUGAAACUGUCGUUCUUGAGUGUCGGAGAGGAAAGUGGAAUUCCCAGUGUAGCGGUGAAAUGCGUAGAGAUUGGGAGGAACACCAGUGGCGAAGGCGGCUUUCUGGACGAUAACUGACGCUGAGGCGCGAAAGCGUGGGUAGCAAACAGGAUUAGAUACCCCGGUAGC